GAUGCGCAGCUACACAUGCAGUCGACGGGCGUAGCAAUACGUCAGAUGGCAGACGGGUGAGUAACGCGUGGGAACGUACCUUUUGGUUCGGAACAACACAGGGAAACUUGUGCUAAUACCGGAUAAGCCCUUACGGGGAAAGAUUUAUCGCCGAAAGAUCGGCCCGCGUCUGAUUAGCUAGUUGGUGAGGUAAUGGCUCACCAAGGCGACGAUCAGUAGCUGGUCUGAGAGGAUGAUCAGCCACAUUGGGACUGAGACACGGCCCAAACUCCUACGGGAGGCAGCAGUGGGGAAUAUUGGACAAUGGGCGAAAGCCUGAUCCAGCCAUGCCGCGUGAGUGAUGAAGGCCCUAGGGUUGUAAAGCUCUUUUGUGCGGGAAGAUAAUGACGGUACCGCAAGAAUAAGCCCCGGCUAACUUCGUGCCAGCAGCCGCGGUAAUACGAAGGGGGCUAGCGUUGCUCGGAAUCACUGGGCGUAAAGGGUGCGUAGGCGGGUUUCUAAGUCAGAGGUGAAAGCCUGGAGCUCAACUCCAGAACUGCCUUUGAUACUGGAAGUCUUGAGUAUGG
This 566-nucleotide ribosomal RNA is filed under the name anoxygenic photosynthetic bacterium G2. Its description in RNAcentral is "bacterial SSU rRNA". It matches the Rfam family "Bacterial small subunit ribosomal RNA", at positions 41 to 651 of the family's 1533-position model. The record is from RNAcentral.